AACCGGAUUAGAUACCCGGGUAGUCCAUACCGUAAACGAUGAAUGCUAAGUGUUGGAGGGUUUCCGCCCUUCAGUGCCGCAGCUAACGCAUUAAGCACUCCGCCUGGGGAGUACGACCGCAAGGUUGAAACUCAAAGGAAUUGACGGGGGCCCGCACAAGCGGUGGAGCAUGUGGUUUAAUUCGAAGCUACGCGAAGAACCUUACCAGGUCUUGACAUCUUGCGCUAACCUAAGAGAUUAGGCGUUCCCUUCGGGGACGCAAUGACAGGUGGUGCAUGGUCGUCGUCAGCUCGUGUCGUGAGAUGUUGGGUUAAGUCCCGCAACGAGCGCAACCCUUGUUACUAGUUGCCAGCAUUCAGUUGGGCACUCUAGUGAGACUGCCGGUGACAAACCGGAGGAAGGUGGGGACGACGUCAGAUCAUCAUGCCCCUUAUGACCUGGGCUACACACGUGCUACAAUGGGCGGCACAACGAGCAGCGAGUCUGUGAAGACAAGCGAAUCUCUGAAAGCCGUUCUCAGUUCGGACUGUAGUCUGCAACCCGACUACACGAAGCUGGAAUCGCUAGUAAUCGCGGAUCAGCACGCCGCGGUGAAUACGUUCCCGGGCCUUGUACACACCGCCCGUCACACCAUGGGAGUCUGAGAUGCCCAAAGCCGGUGGCCUAACCUUUCGGGGAAGGAGCCGUCUAAGGCAGGGCAGAUGACUGGGGUGAAGUCGUAACAAGGUAACC
Molecule: ribosomal RNA, 732 nt
Filed under: uncultured Lactobacillus sp.
Lineage: Bacteria; Bacillati; Bacillota; Bacilli; Lactobacillales; Lactobacillaceae
Description: bacterial SSU rRNA
Rfam family: Bacterial small subunit ribosomal RNA
Source: RNAcentral